Molecule: non-coding RNA, 1108 nt
Filed under: Cryptosporidium parvum
Lineage: Eukaryota; Apicomplexa; Conoidasida; Eucoccidiorida; Cryptosporidiidae
Source: RNAcentral
AAUAAAUUUCUAGUUUCAUCAGUAUUAAAUCCAUGAAUAGAUGCAAAUUCCAAAAUAGAGUUAUUAACUGCAGAGAUUAAAUGCUUAAGUUUAAAAUAAGCAUCAUAUGGAGGUAGUCUACACUCUAAGACAAGUCUGUCAAUUUGAUUAAUUACUAGAACAACCUUCUUCCCUUCUGAUAAGCAAUAAUGAAGCAAUCUUUCUAAUUGUUUAGUUAAACCAAUAACACAGUCCAAGAAAAGUAUAACUCCUUCUGAAAUUCUUACUGAAAUGCAUGCUUCAUCCACAAAGUUAACAUGACCAGGGGUAUCUAAAAUAUUGAAUAAGAAAGAUUUAUCCAUAGAGUUUGGUAGUACCAAAGAUAUUGGAGAAGCUUUAAUACUAAUUCCUCUAUCCUGUUCAUCUUUUCUUGAAUCACAAUAUCUCUCCGGUAAAGGAAUAUUUUUCUUAUCUCCUUUGUAAGAAUGAGUAUUUUUAAUCAACAUAUCUAAGAAUGUGGUUUUUCCAGAAUGAAUUUCACCAAUAAAACAGAUAUUUCUAACAAAUUCCAAAUUAUCCAUUAAAUCUCUCAAGAAUUCAUAAGAAAAUGUUGUUUCCAUUUCCUUAAGGUUCUUUUCAAUUAAGUCAAAUUUGUUUUCUUUUAAGGGAGAAAUGAGAGGUUCAUCUAUAUGUUGGUGGUCUUCCUCUUGUACCAAUAUUUCAACGUCAUCACCAUAUACAUCAGAUGGGUCUGGAUAAUACUCUUUAUCUUCAAAUUGCACAAUCUUAUUAUCAUCAUCAGUUUCCUGAGUCAUUUCAUGAUCCUCGUCUUUUAUGCUUUGUUUAUUAAGUAUUUUGACUUGUCCUUUAUGCUUUUGCCACUCAUUUUCAGAAAAAAUAUCACUUCCUGAAUCUUCAGACUCUUCUUUUUGGGCAUGAUCAAAAAUUUCACCAUCUUUAUUGUUGUGGCUAUCUUCUGGAUCUGAAGUUUCUUCGGAUCCCACCCAAUCUGCGCUUCCUUCUGAGUCGUUAUCAUCUUUCACAAUAUAAUUACCAAAUUCAUCAUACACAUCAUUCAAGUCCAUCUUUAGAUGAUUAACCCCCAGAGCUAUUAAAUAUUACUCUUGCC